RNAcentral lists this long non-coding RNA (975 nucleotides) under Numida meleagris (helmeted guineafowl). RNAcentral's name for it is "lncRNA (ENSNMEG00000006942.1)". The record is from RNAcentral. Lineage: Eukaryota; Metazoa; Chordata; Aves; Galliformes; Numididae.
AUUGCUUAUUGCUCUCUUUCCAUGCCUUUGCAAUUAGUGCUGUUCCUCCCGCAUCCUUCAUUAAACUAGAGCCCUGAGCACAGAGGAAAGAGUGGGAAAGGGAAAUUUAUGGGGCACAGAACUUGACCCCAGUGCUUCUGCUUCACUCCUCAUGCAGCUCACAGCCACUCACCUGGCAUUAGGCUAACAUUACAGAUUGUUUUGCAGCUUGAGUGACAACUCUUCCAGUUCAAUCUGAGCAUCCAAUAUAAUGCCAUGCUGGUGCCAGGCAACGUGUUACAGUGUGUCAUACCUUGCACUUCCUUUGGAUCGGUUUCUGUUCUCUGGAAUGUCUCAGCAAAGUGGAGCUGUUGUUUCAGCGGCUCUAUCAGCUGCUGUUGAUGAAGAAGAUCUUAGCUGUGCUACUGUUGGUCUAUUUUGAAGGUUUGCCGAGGAGGUGUGAGAGCCACAUCACCCAGUGGGACAGCCAUCACUGCUGCAUGAAUCCACCAGAGGUAGACAGUGUGGCUGUUCAUAUUCUUGGAGGAGAACAAAGAACAUGUAGAGACCUUUGUACAGAAGCAUAUAGCUGUAAAAGCCAAAAACCAAAAAUUCCAUAUGGAUUGCAGUAGUAAGGUAUUUUUCUCCAGUUUCAACUGUUAAGGGAAGCUCCUACUGAAUAUUCAAGAUACAGAGAAUUUGCCUCUGGCAGUGAAAAAACAGCUGAGUGAAAAUGCUGGAAAAGCAGGUGCUCUGCAGUACGUGUGAUACCUUAUGUCUAGAUGCAUCUGGUUUUGUAGGUAGAUAUUUGCAUGCAUUUUUCCUGUCAUAUGCCUAAUUAUCUGUUUUAUCUGCUAAGAGUAUGCAGAGAAUUUGGCCUAAUGCAUGGUAGAUUUUUCUGGGUUAUGUUACUAGCCUUACUGAAACAUUGCUGCAGUGGAACUGGUAUGAUUUGUGGGAUGAUGUAAGGAGUUGGAACUACUUAAGUGAUAACUG